Molecule: ribosomal RNA, 347 nt
Filed under: Calonarius olearioides
Lineage: Eukaryota; Fungi; Basidiomycota; Agaricomycetes; Agaricales; Cortinariaceae
Description: SSU rRNA
Rfam family: Eukaryotic small subunit ribosomal RNA
Source: RNAcentral
AUAGCGUAUAUUAAAGUUGUUGCAGUUAAAAAGCUCGUAGUUGAACUUCAGACCUGGCCGGGCGGUCUGCUUAACGGCAUGUACUGUCUGGGCGGGUCUUACCUCCUGGGGAGCCGGCGUGCCCUUCAUUGGUGUGCGUUGGGGAACCAGGACUUUUACCUUGAGAAAAUUAGAGUGUUCAAAGCAGGCCUAUGCCUGGAUACAUUAGCAUGGAAUAAUAGAAUAGGACGUGUGGUUCUAUUUUGUUGGUUUCUAGAAUUGCCGUAAUGAUUAAUAGGGAUAGUUGGGGGCAUUGGUAUUCAGUCGCUAGAGGUGAAAUUCUUGGAUUGACUGAAGACCGACUAUUG